This 74-nucleotide transfer RNA is filed under the name Escherichia phage vB_EcoM_112. RNAcentral's name for it is "tRNA-Gly". It matches the Rfam family "tRNA". From Rfam's summary of the family: Transfer RNA (tRNA) molecules are approximately 80 nucleotides in length. Their secondary structure includes four short double-helical elements and three loops (D, anti-codon, and T loops). Further hydrogen bonds mediate the characteristic L-shaped molecular structure. tRNAs have two regions of fundamental functional importance: the anti-codon, which is responsible for specific mRNA codon recognition, and the 3' end, to which the tRNAs corresponding amino acid is attached (by aminoacyl-tRNA synthetases). tRNAs cope with the degeneracy of the genetic code in two manners: having more than one tRNA (with a specific anti-codon) for a particular amino acid; and 'wobble' base-pairing, i.e. permitting non-standard base-pairing at the 3rd anti-codon position. The record is from RNAcentral. Lineage: Duplodnaviria; Heunggongvirae; Uroviricota; Caudoviricetes; Pantevenvirales; Straboviridae.
GCGGAUAUCGUAUAAUGGCAUUACCUCAGACUUCCAAUCUGAUGAUGUGAGUUCGAUUCUCAUUAUCCGCUCAA